Molecule: ribosomal RNA, 500 nt
Filed under: uncultured bacterium
Lineage: Bacteria
Description: bacterial SSU rRNA
Rfam family: Bacterial small subunit ribosomal RNA
Source: RNAcentral
UUCUGUGAGCAGGAAAGCAGGGGAUCGCAAGACCUUGCGCUGAUUGAGCGGCCGAUAUCAGAUUAGCUAGUUGGUGAGGUAAAGGCUCACCAAGGCGACGAUCUGUAGCGGGUCUGAGAGGAUGAUCCGCCACACUGGAACUGAGACACGGUCCAGACUCCUACGGGAGGCAGCAGUGGGGAAUUUUGGACAAUGGGGGCAACCCUGAUCCAGCCAUGCCGCGUGAGUGAAGAAGGCCUUCGGGUUGUAAAGCUCUUUCGGCCGGGAAGAAAUCGUAUGGGUUAAUACCCUGUGCGGAUGACGGUACCGGCAUAAGAAGCACCGGCUAACUACGUGCCAGCAGCCCGCGGUAAUACGUAGGGUGCGAGCGUUAAUCGGAAUUACUGGGCGUAAAGCGUGCGCAGGCGGUUUUGUAAGACAGGCGUGAAAUCCCCGGGCUCAACCUGGGAACUGCGCUUGUGACUGCAAGGCUAGAGUAUGGCAGAAGGGGGUGGAAUUCC